AGAGUUUGAUCAUGGCUCAGGACGAACGCUGGCGGCGUGCUUAACACAUGCAAGUCGAGCGGUAAGGCCUCUUCGGGGGUACACGAGCGGCGAACGGGUGAGUAACACGUGGGUGACCUGCCCUCAGCUCUGGGAUAAGCUCGGGAAACUGGGUCUAAUACCGGAUAGGACCAUUGGAUGCAUGUCUGGUGGUGGAAAGUUUUUUCGGCUGGGGAUGGGCCCGCGGCCUAUCAGCUUGUUGGUGGGGUGAUGGCCUACCAAGGCGGUGACGGGUAGCCGGCCUGAGAGGGCGACCGGCCACACUGGGACUGAGACACGGCCCAGACUCCUACGGGAGGCAGCAGUGGGGAAUAUUGCGCAAUGGGCGGAAGCCUGACGCAGCGACGCCGCGUGGGGGAUGACGGCCUUCGGGUUGUAAACCUCUUUCGCCAGGGACGAAGCCUUCGGAUGACGGUACCUGGAUAAGAAGCACCGGCCAACUCCGUGCCAGCAGCCGCGGUA
This 501-nucleotide ribosomal RNA is filed under the name uncultured Actinomycetes bacterium. RNAcentral describes it as "bacterial SSU rRNA". It matches the Rfam family "Bacterial small subunit ribosomal RNA", at positions 8 to 522 of the family's 1533-position model. The record is from RNAcentral. Lineage: Bacteria; Bacillati; Actinomycetota; Actinomycetes.